RNAcentral lists this transfer RNA (71 nucleotides) under Phrynosoma platyrhinos (Desert horned lizard). RNAcentral describes it as "tRNA-OTHER". Lineage: Eukaryota; Metazoa; Chordata; Lepidosauria; Squamata; Phrynosomatidae. The record is from RNAcentral.
GCCAGUGUGGUGUAGUGGUUUGACUGUUGGACUAUAAUUCUGGAGAGUAGGGUUCGAUUCCCAAUUUGGCC